Molecule: long non-coding RNA, 1145 nt
Filed under: Homo sapiens (human)
Lineage: Eukaryota; Metazoa; Chordata; Mammalia; Primates; Hominidae
Description: non-protein coding lnc-PEPD-4:2
Source: RNAcentral
GCCUCCUCCUCGCGCCGCUCUCCGGCUGCCCUCCCGCCGCUCCCACCUCCUCUCCUCCCUCCUCUCUCUCCGGCGGCCUCCCUCGAUUGCUGGAGAGAAAACCAGCCCCCCACUCCAGCCCCUAGCCAGCGCCUCGCCGCGGCCCAGCCCGGACGUAAAGGGCAGCGAUCCGGCCCCAAAUUACCCAGCGCGAACGGGCGCGCGCGGCGACUCCUGGCUCGGGGCUCGGCUGCGCCGCGGGGCAGAGGAUUAGAGUCGCAAUUAGCUCCGCGCGCCCGCGCCUGGCGACAAAAACGCGCCGUUUCCCCUCCUUUCGCCGGGCGAUCCCCACCCGCCUCUCCCGAAGCCCGCGCCUUCCCGCCGGGGCCGCGGCCAGGACCCUCCCGGGAGCGGUGCGCCCAGGCCCCAGCGCCCUCCGCGGCCCAGCCCCCCGCCCCCCGCCGGCCGGCCACGCGGCGCCCGGGCCUCCUCCGGGCUCGGGGAGGGGGCGGGGGAGAGGCUGAUUUUAAUCAUUGUCAUUUCAUCUGAUGUAAUAUUUCCCCGGGCGCUUUCAGCUGGGCAUAAAUUUUCGGCUCCCAAAUAAGUAACACAGGGCACGUUUCUCACAUUUCUUGACUCCUCGGUUACAAAGAGGAGAGCAGCCGCCGCCGCGGCGCCCGGGGCUGGGGGCGGGACUUGGGAAGAAACUGGGCUGCCAGUCGGUCGGGGCUGGAGCGGAGCCGGGGGCCAGGCCGCCCCUCCCCCGCUCCCUGGCCGCCCUCCCAGGGUCUCUGCCCCGCUGCCCCUCUCCCGUGACGUCUGCGGACACGCGGUCGGCCGCCGCGGGGGAGGGACGCGCUGGGGCACCGGGCCGACCGCUCGCGGCUAGACGCGCCAUUUCCUUUACGCGCGCGGCGCGAUGGAGACGGCGGCAGCCAAGACUCCCCGCGGCCGAGGCCAUGAGAUUGGUUUUAAUAUGACACUUCAAAAGUAUUCAUGGAACUACAGAGCUACUAAGUGUCAUUGUUUAAGAGACAAAUCUCACCAUGGUACUGGUGACCCUGAAAAUAGGAUAUUCUACUUUAUUUUAAAUUCCUACGUGUUUUUUUAAGAGUUUCACUUUAUACCAAUUAUAAUAAAAAUGUACAAUUUAGUGGAAACAAGAA